GACGAACGCUGGCGGCGUGCUUAACACAUGCAAGUCGAACGGAAAGGCCCUGCUUUUGUGGGGUGCUCGAGUGGCGAACGGGUGAGUAACACGUGAGUAACCUGCCCUUGACUUUGGGAUAACUUCAGGAAACUGGGGCUAAUACCGGAUAGGAGCUCCUGCUGCAUGGUGGGGGUUGGAAAGUUUCGGCGGUUGGGGAUGGACUCGCGGCUUAUCAGCUUGUUGGUGGGGUAGUGGCUUACCAAGGCUUUGACGGGUAGCCGGCAUGAGAGGGUGACCGGCCACAUUGGGACUGAGAUACGGCCCAGACUCCUACGGGAGGCAGCAGUGGGGAAUAUUGCACAAUGGGCGGAAGCCUGAUGCGGCAACGCAGCGUGCGGGAUGACGGCCUUCGGGUUGUAAACCGCUUUCGCCUGUGACGAAGCGUGAGUGACGGUAAUGGGUAAAGAAGCACCGGCUAACUACGUG
This 468-nucleotide ribosomal RNA is filed under the name uncultured bacterium. Its description in RNAcentral is "partial 16S ribosomal RNA". It matches the Rfam family "Bacterial small subunit ribosomal RNA", at positions 28 to 507 of the family's 1533-position model. The record is from RNAcentral.